Molecule: long non-coding RNA, 511 nt
Organism: Leopardus geoffroyi (Geoffroy's cat)
Lineage: Eukaryota; Metazoa; Chordata; Mammalia; Carnivora; Felidae
Exons: 4
Source: RefSeq, a predicted model, not a curated record
GUGUGUGUGUGUUUGGUAUAAUUCAUUAUGGCAUUUCUAAGCAUAUCACCAUUAUUUUGCUCCAUUUUGCAAUACCGGCAUGAAGUAAACAAAAUGAGAAAAACCAAAACAACAAUUUUCUGCGCGUGUGUGAGAGAGAAGGGCAUAGACUGAUGCCGUGAGAGAGAGGUUAUUUCAUAGGAAGCAUUAUGUUUUGGCAGAAGAAAUCCAUCAAACAAAUGACCACCUGGAAAGGCCGCAGGGAGCCAUCUGGGCUCCAUGAGAAAGCUGACUUGGCGACUGAUGGAAGGAGAAGCAGAGAAAGAGAGCCAUUGUCUUUUUGGUCAUCUUAAACAAGUCCCAGGGUGUAGAGGAGAGAAAUAAUACUGAAAAAAAUCUUUCCCCAGAGGACACAGCUUUGUACUCCAUACAUACCGUAAAGGUGACGCAGCAAAGAAUGCAAGGGCUUCAUAGCUCUAGACAACUCACAUUAAGGAACAAAGGACAACACCGGAGACCUUGAAGGAGAAGG